AUAAAAUAAGAUGUUGUGAGUGCACCCAACCUCAGAAGAGCUCUCUGGCUUCCUAUGUAAGGACGCAACCUCUCCCCUCACACUCACUCCUCCAUGUGCUUUUGCCAAAGAGCCACCUGACCAGAGGCCAAAUCAAUGAGGCUGCCUGAUUUUCAGCCUCCAAAACUUCAAGCUACAUAAACUCUUUAUAAAGUUAGCUUGCUUUAAGCAUUUCCUUAUAAUGAUGAAAAAUGGGUGAAUACAGGGUCCCUCAAGAACUGUGAGCUAUAUAAAUAGUUGUAUUAAUUCACAAAGUUUGGGCACAGCUUGAACGCUGCACAGCUGACUGAUACACCUAUACGUUUGAUAGCUCCACCUAUCACUGACCGAUAUUUACAGAUUGACUUUACUCCUCGUUACUUGACCAGAAAACACUAUCUGUGUGCAAGCCAGAGCCCCAGAGAGACAGGCUCCUUUUCAAAAACACAAAUGACAUCCAAAAUCUGGAGGCAGCUCUGGGGGAGAGGAAGGGACAGCAGUGAAACAGAGUCGGGUCCAUGUUGGGGAAGAGCUCAGGGGUCUCCGAGGGCAAGACCAGGAACCCAGAGUCCAGCGGCAGAACCGCUGUGCUGGGGAGGGAGUCACUCUCUCCACACAGCUGGGAGCGUACAUCCCAUCCUGGCUGAGCCAGCUGUGCCAUUUCAGCUGGAGUGAUGGCAUCAAAACCGAGGCAGCAAUUUGGAAAGCAGUAUGGAGAUUCCUGGGAAAGCUGGGAAUGGAACCACCAUUUGACCCAGCUAUUGCCCUUCUCGGACUAUUCCCUGAAGACCUUAAAAGAGCGUACUAUAGGGAUACUGCUACAUCGAUGUUCAUAGCAGCACAAUUCACAAUAGCUAGACUGUGGAACCAACCCAGAUGCCCUUCAAUAGAUGAAUGGAUAAAAAAAAUGUGGCAUUUAUACACAAUGGAGUAUUACUCAGCACUAAAAAAUGACAAAAUCAUGGAAUUUGCAGGGAAAUGGAUGGCACUAGAGCAGA
RNAcentral lists this long non-coding RNA (1016 nucleotides) under Marmota monax (woodchuck). The record is from RNAcentral. Lineage: Eukaryota; Metazoa; Chordata; Mammalia; Rodentia; Sciuridae.